UACGGAAGGUCCGGGCGUUAUCCGGAUUUAUUGGGUGUAAAGGGAGCGCAGGCCGCCCCUUAAGCGUGUUGUGAAAUGCCGCGGCUCAACCGUGGCACUGCAGCGCGAACUGGAAGUCUUGAGUGCACGCAGGGGUGCCGGAAUUCAUGGUGUAGCGGUGAAAUGCUUAGAUAUCACGAAGAACCCCGAUUGCGAAGGCAGCAUACGGCAGCGCUACUGACGCUGAAGCUCGAAGGCGCGGGUAUCGA
Molecule: ribosomal RNA, 248 nt
Filed under: uncultured Prevotellaceae bacterium
Lineage: Bacteria; Pseudomonadati; Bacteroidota; Bacteroidia; Bacteroidales; Prevotellaceae
Description: partial 16S ribosomal RNA
Rfam family: Bacterial small subunit ribosomal RNA
Source: RNAcentral